RNAcentral lists this transfer RNA (66 nucleotides) under Scarabaeoidea sp. KM-2017. RNAcentral's name for it is "tRNA-Glu". Lineage: Eukaryota; Metazoa; Arthropoda; Insecta; Coleoptera. The record is from RNAcentral.
AUUUAUAUAGUUUAAAUAAAACAUUAUAUUUUCACUAUAAAAAUAGAAAUUUUUUUCUUAUAAAUA